RNAcentral lists this ribosomal RNA (253 nucleotides) under uncultured bacterium. RNAcentral's name for it is "partial 16S ribosomal RNA". It matches the Rfam family "Bacterial small subunit ribosomal RNA", at positions 524 to 776 of the family's 1533-position model. The record is from RNAcentral.
UACGUAGGGUGCGAGCGUUAAUCGGAAUUACUGGGCGUAAAGCGUGCGCAGGCGGUUUUGUAAGCCAGAUGUGAAAGCCCCGGGCUCAACCUGGGAAUGGCAUUUGGGACUGCAAGGCUUGAGUGCGGCAGAGGAGACUGGAAUUCCUGGUGUAGCAGUGAAAUGCGUAGAUAUCAGGAGGAAUACCGAUGGCGAAGGCAGGUCUCUGGGCCUGUCCUGACGCUGAGGCGCGAAAGCUAGGGGAGCGAACAGG